GUUGGCCUGAAUAGGCGGAGGGGCCUCUUUGGCCGAUCCAGAGGCUGCCAGGCCGGGUCCCUUGCGACGAGCGGCCCCGGGCCUUACUGAAGGGAAUCUUUGCGCCUGGCCCCAUUAACGCCCUCACUUUCUUGCUUUGUCAGCCCGUCUUCCUCUCGGCCAGCUUAGACGAGAGACCUCAUUCUCCCGGUACCCCAUCCCUCCUGUGGGAAUCCGGCGUGUACUUAUUUUGAUCGGGGUCCGGGCUGACUGCUCUGACGGAAAGAUUCUCUUAAUUUAGGUCUUGUAAAUCCAGCCGUGAACACUACGGCGGAGUUGCAGUACUCCACAGUUUAACCAUUAGGCCCGAGGGAAUGUUCUCUCCCCCUUCCUCCCUCCCUUCUCUGUCUCUCUCACUCUCUCACAAAUACAACUUUUAGAGUCUUCUGAGAACUGUGCUGCAUUAGAUUAUCUUUGAAAUAAUUCUUAAGUUAGCGCCUUAAGGCAGCUUGCUGGGAGGUUCAAAGAGAAGGCUUGUACACUUUUUCCUCCACCUGUAUCACCGUUUGCAAUGGAAAACGUUGAGUUGACAGUGAUUUUCCAGAAGAGGUUUCCUCAUCUGUAGCAUGAAUACAUCAGAGAACUAAUAGAAUUAUUAUGAGGAUUUAAUGAGAUAAUACAUGUGACACUGAUGAUAAAAAUCCAUUCAAGAAUUUAGAUGUGACAUCUGCAGCAGGUUCAGAUCUCUCAGCUAUAAGACAAACUGGAUACUUCGUAAAGAUUUUCAUCUAUUAUGCACAGAGCCAAAAUCCGUUACUGAAAUUGUCUGGGUGAGCAGCCUGCUGGGUCCAGUGAUGCGCUAGUAGACAAAGAAGUUGAAAAAGAAGGAUGGCAUAUUCUUUGGAUGACUGGCAGAGUAUGACAUCAGUGUGGCAUCAAGCCCUACUAUGAUUCCAAGGACUUCAUGACUAAAUAAAAAUUGAUUUUUUUUUGGUGGCAGGGUGGGGGUAGUUGAAGUAAAUUUCAUCAUUGCUUUGGGAAUGUUUAAUGUAUUAUCAUUUCAUAAUGAUACAUGGUAAUUACUUUGGUAAUCAAACUGAAGAUUCUGUUUAUGGAACUUACAUAGUUAUCACCUUUUAGUAUUGGGUUCUUUCACUUUAAGGGAAAUAGAAUAAAGAAAAACAUCUACUUACGCUAAAAGAUUUUACCUAAGAAGGCUAAUUUAAAGACUAUCAUUGUUAUAAGAAAGUUUUUGCUUUGGGGCAUUCUUGAAAUUUUGCUCUCUCCCAGCAUGUAUAAAAUAUGUUUCUGUUUGCAAAAA
This is a long non-coding RNA of Suricata suricatta (meerkat), 1300 nucleotides long. RefSeq lists it as uncharacterized. The transcript has 3 exons. The record is from RefSeq and is a predicted model, not a curated record. NCBI's taxonomy places the organism in Eukaryota, Metazoa, Chordata, Mammalia, Carnivora, Herpestidae.